AGUAUGCAUACCCAGAAGUGAAAAUGAUAUGUAAAAAUAAUGUUUGGAAGCUCAAAGAUCACUGUGUAGAGCCUCUGCAAGACUGAAAAGACUCAAGAUGCAUGUCUGAAGAGGAUACACAUUGCCCACUGCCUUACUCUGUCCAUUGUAUAUACACAUGCAUAUAUUACCUAAUAACUGUUGCAAAAGAUGACAUCCCUAAAUAGCUCCUGCAUUGUUAAAGAUUAAUAAACUUUUGUUUUUCUCUUUCUGUUCUGCAGAUUGCUUCCAUAUGUGCAGCUAUUUAUGUACACUUAAUGCUAAUAUGGUGUUGAUCCAAGUCUGCGUCAGGCUUGCUUUUCAGUUGUCGUUUUGGUCAGUUCCUCUCCUUUGGAAGAAGCCUGUACCAUCAUCUUUUCAAAUUGCUGCAGAUUUUCUGUGGAUAAAAAGCUUUGAACAUAGACGUAGUGGUUUUAUAUUGUAGCUGAGUCCAGCCAAGCCAAAACGUGGAUGCCCCAGUCCUUUCCUGUGAACAUAGAAAGCUGCUUUCUUCACGUUUAUUUGAGUAAUAUAAAAGGAGGCACUGACUUUGAGAAAAUCUUCAGUUGAAUCUGUAUUUUCUUAUGUUUCCACUUUCAGGAAUUUCAGUAAUACACUUUUUUUUUUCUCCACCAUUAGCUUUAAUAUAUGACAGUUCUAGAUGAAAAGGAUAAAAGUCAAAAAUAGUUUAUAAAUCAUGAGUAGGAUGCAGGUUCUAAGUGCAGAUGUCUGGAGAUGUGAUAAAGCUACAUUUUUUCAUCUCCCCAUGGUUAGCUUCAUAAUAUUGCUAGGUAUUCUACUCUGGGUAUAUGUUUGAAGAACUGCUUCUCUCUCUGGUGGGGAGGAAAAUGGGCAGGAUUUCAUUUUCACUUUCCUACGGUAUGACUGUUUUUCUUGAACUGGUCAUUAAUACUAGAUUAUGCUAUCCUUCUUCCAUUUCUAUUUUGAGGAACAAUGGGCCAGAGAGAUGAGACUUUACUAAAGAAUAAAGCAGAGCUCACAGGAAGAAAAAAAAAAAAA
Molecule: long non-coding RNA, 1038 nt
Filed under: Anser brachyrhynchus (Pink-footed goose)
Lineage: Eukaryota; Metazoa; Chordata; Aves; Anseriformes; Anatidae
Description: lncRNA (ENSABRG00000020664.1)
Source: RNAcentral